AUGUCUUCCUAUGACAAAAUUUUAGAGCUAGUGAAAGUCAUGGAACUAGAGGGUGAUAAAAAGAGGGAAUUCAUAGAAAGAGAGCUAGCAAAAUUAGAAAAGAAAGAAAAAGAAGAUAGGGAGGAUAGGAAACAAAAAGAAAAAGAAGAUAGAGAUAGAGAAAAAGAAAUUAGGGACAGAGAAGAAAGAAAUGCAAAGAGAAAUCAUGAGAAAGAAUUAAAAGAACUAGAAGCUAAACAAAAAGAAGUAGAGGCAAAACAAAAAGAAAGUCAGGACAAAGUAGAGUUAGCUAAACUAGAAGCUGCCAAAACAAAUCCCAACAUUAUAACCCAACAGUCUACAACAAAGCCAUUCAUUUCUAAAUUUCAUAAAUUCAAUUCCAAAGAUGAAACACUUGAAAACUAUUUGGUCCAAUUUGAGCAUAUUGCCUCCACUUACAAUCUUAACAAUGAGGACAUGGCCAAACACCUACUAGCAAAUUUGUCGGGAGAACCCCUCAACAUCAUUUCCACAUUAACAGUAGACCAAAAGAAAGACUAUGCGGCAGUAAAGACUAGAUUACUAGAGCACUUCGGGAAAAAUUCGGACUUCUAUCGCAAGCUGUUUAGGGACACUAAAUUAAAGAAAGAUGGGGACUUUAAUAGAAUAAUAUUUUAUAUGAGGACGAAUAUGAUAAAAUGGUUAGAGCUAGCAAAAUGUGACAUCAAGGACCCGACACAAAUCCUAGACAUGCUACUUAUUGACAAUGUUCUCAACAACGUGACAGAUUUGGUAUUCACUUUUCUUAAAGAAAAAAAGAUCAAGACAGAGACUGAACUGAUAACCAACUUAAAUUUAUUUAAAGACAGUCACCCUGGACACACCAUUGACAAAAGAGACCUACACCAACUUGCAGCCACAGCAACAACAUCCAACAACAACAGCAAUGAUAAAUACAAAUGGUCUAACACCAAGACUUGUUUCAAUUGUGGGAGAAGAGGUCACGUGAAAAACCAAUGCAAAGCUCCUAUAAACUACAAUAACAAUUACAGAUACAGAAGCUACACUAAUUUCUACAAUCCAAACAGCUAUAAUCACAACAAUAAUUACAAUAAUAGACCAUAUAGACCACACCAGAGUGCAAGUCCCAAUAAAAGAAGAAAUUUUACAAACAGCUGCCAACACAAUAACUAUAAUAGCAACAACAGACAAUCUAGAAGGGACCAAUUUAACUACCACACAAACAACCACCCAAACAACUACAAUAGCGGAAAUAGAAACAAUAGAAACAACAGUGGCAAUAACACCAACACACAUAGAGAGGAAAAUGUAGCUUAUAUGCAAUCAAACAAGUCUAAAAUAAAGGUCUUUCCAUCCUAUGUCAAUCUUAAGGAAGUGGGAUCAAUUCGUGACAGUGGAGCCACGGCAUUCAUAGUUAAAGCCUCUUUAGUUGAACCAGGACAGUAUCUAGAAAAUACAGUAAAAGUGACCUAUGCAAACAUACAAAAAUUUGAUAUUUGUAAGAUCGCUAAAGUUCCAAUAUUAUCCCCCUGGAUUACAUGAGAACUAGAAGCCAUAGUCAUGGACACCGCAGCACAAGAUCUAAUAAUAGGCAAUGUAGAAGGUGUAAAAGAUCCAACACUAGAAGAAGUUAUGCAAUGGGCGGAAGAUGGACAAAAGUAUUCCCUUUACAAACAUGAGGCAUUAUUAGUUGAAACCAGAUACAUAAUACAUGAAAAUGAAGCAAGUGAAAAUAAUGACAUUAAACACAUCAGCCAGGACAUUCUAAUAGAGUAAAUAACCAGUACAAAUCACUUAGAACCAAGUAGUAGUAGUCAACUAAGUCAACUUAACAUACUACACAUUUUUCAAAUAGGUCAUGACACUUUAUUGUUACAUUUAUCUCUUGGGUCAUCAUGACACUUCAAUUGCUAUUGACCUAUUAUGCUUAUGAUCAUUAACAGAUCAUCUAUUAACUCAUUGUAUUUUAUUGUCAAGUUGUAAUAUGACAAAUACCAGAUGUGUUUAUUUUGUGUGUACAUAUUUUGUUUUACUACUGAGCAUGCACAGCAAUGUAAACAAUGAGAUGUAAACAACAGUGAACUACUUGAACUGUUGACCUGAAUUUUUUUUCAAAACAACUCACAGAUGUAAAUAUUGUUGAAUUUUUUACACACUUGAAUACUACAAUGAGAUGUAAACAACAGUGAACUACUUGAACUGUUGACCUGAAUUUUUUUUCAAAACAACUCACAGAUGUAAAUAUUGUUGAAUUUUUUACACACUUGAAUACUACAAUGAAUGUUUACAAACAUGAAAAUUUUUUACUAUUGUACUUCAAUACUACACUCAGGCUAUUUAUAGUAGUCUUAUGCAAGGUCAACCUUGAACUUGAUUGACAUGUCUCUAUGAAUCUUUUUUGAUGAUGGCAAAACUUAGAAUAAUAUUUUGACACAGCACAUCACAAUUGUAAAUAAAUAUGAAUUUUUUUUCUGAAAUCUUUUUGAGUAAAUUUACUCAGUGUGUCAAAUGAUACACAUUGGUAAUGUUGUGCAGCUAUAAUUAUAUGAAAAUAUUGGAUGUGAAAUAACUUAAUUUUUUUUCUUUCCUUUUUUAUAUUGAUUAGCAUGUGAUUGCAUGUACAAAUUUUGUCAGUACAAAUGUAUACAUAAAGCUGUUAACACUUGAUGGAGAUUAAAUCUUUUAAAAAAAAUUCUUUGAUAAUAUUUCAUAACACUUGCAUAAGAAAAGAAUUGUGGAUACUUUUCAUUACAAUUAGUCUGAUAUUUCAGUGAUUUUGCUCUCAGUGAAUUAAGUAUAUAAAUCAUUAUACAUUUUGGACUCAGUAAUUUAUAUGGUGUUGUACAUAAUUACUAAGAUUAUAUAAGAUGAUAUGAACAAUUGAAGUGAACUUACAGCACUUGAUGGAAUAAUGGACUAAGCUCAUAUAUAUAUUUGUACAGUGAUAUUGGUGUAAAAUAUACUUGUCAAAGAUUUUUGGACAAAAAUCUUUUUUUGGAGUGUGGGGCGUAUGUUACAGACCAGUUUUAGAACCCCUGUGACAUAAAGUGACACUCAGUCACCUAUUUUAAUAUUCCGUGCUGAAAGCACGAGAACAAGUUUUAGGGACUCUAAAAUAAGGGUCAAUGUUAAGCAGUUAGUGAAGAACUCCAGCAGAGAGUGGCUGUAAUAUAAUUUUCUCUGUCUGUAAUGUGUACUGUGACAAAUUUGAUCAAGUGUUAACUUAAAAGAUUUCUUUGGAUUAAUAUUGUUAAUAUUUCAUUGAUGUGAUUACUUUGUCUACAUGGCAUGAGCAGCCAGUAUUUAUCGUUAUUUAUUUUGUGUAAUUAAACUUUCCUCGUCUGCAUCUGUGGAGUUACGUUCUAGAUAUCUACAUAUACAUGUCCAGGUUCCAUGAAGUUAUGAGCUGAAUAGAUUUAUUGAACAAUACGUAAUUGUGUUAUUCUAUUGCAACAAGAAGGAUGAUGAUAAUGUAGUUCGUCAGACGAUACAGGAUGACGUCAUUCACAUAAAGAAACAAAGAGAUACUCUUUCACGUCUGCUGAACCAAAUGAAACAAAUGUACGGCCAACAAAGUUGUCAAAUGAUGAAACUUUAAAAGAAUGAUUCCAAAGUAUCGGCUAACGGAGGAUGGUGCAAGGAAACCAGCAGACCUAACAGCAAUUCACAUAUAACAGAUCCGGUAAGUUUCUUAGACUUGACUGCCCCACAGUACGGCCUUCCAAUCUUUGACUGGGUCGUCAGUAUCGAGGUAGCAGAGCACAUCCCGGCCAAGUUUGAAGAGAUUUACUUGGACAAUCUGGCCAGGCAUGCACGUGAAGG
Biomphalaria glabrata is the source of this 3822-nucleotide RNA transcript. RefSeq lists it as uncharacterized. NCBI's taxonomy places the organism in Eukaryota, Metazoa, Mollusca, Gastropoda, Planorbidae. The transcript is spliced from 4 exons. The record is from RefSeq and is a predicted model, not a curated record.